RNAcentral lists this long non-coding RNA (263 nucleotides) under Physcomitrium patens. Its description in RNAcentral is "long non-coding RNA (PPAT_LNC002083)". Lineage: Eukaryota; Viridiplantae; Streptophyta; Bryopsida; Funariales; Funariaceae. The record is from RNAcentral.
GUGGGGCUAUGUAGAAUAGAUAUUAAUUCGUUUUUGAAAGAUAUUGGUAAAAUAUAUUAAUAGUCUAUAUAAUAAGAAAUUUAAGAGGACAGAUGAGUGAUUUAGUUAUUAAAAGUGGUUAAUUACAGAAUUACUGUUAGAAUCUGGAGAAUCAAGAAAAAGUAUAUAUGAGUUGUAGAAGUUAAUUAAGGUGCCAUCGCUGUGAUAGUUGUGAGCCGGGAUAAGCUUGGUGCUACUUCUUUUUCUUUUGUUUGUUAUUUUCU